AUGGUUUUGGGACCUGAGCUCAAGCAUGGAACUGUUUCAUUUCUUCAUGUGGAAGAUCCAGAAGGACACAAAGCUUUAGGGGCCAGGAUUUUACCCACACCUCAAGAGCCUGUGAAUCUGAAGGAGAAGGCACAGACCUACUGAGGCUGGCCAUAGUGUUCAUGAAUUGCCAGAGACACCUGAGGAACAGGAUCUACACAGUUAAUUCCAAACUUCACUGCCAGAACCAGCACUCCUGAUCUGCUA
This 246-nucleotide long non-coding RNA is filed under the name Parus major (Great Tit). RNAcentral's name for it is "lncRNA (ENSPMJG00000000192.1)". The record is from RNAcentral. Lineage: Eukaryota; Metazoa; Chordata; Aves; Passeriformes; Paridae.